This 482-nucleotide ribosomal RNA is filed under the name uncultured bacterium. Its description in RNAcentral is "bacterial SSU rRNA". It matches the Rfam family "Bacterial small subunit ribosomal RNA", at positions 29 to 500 of the family's 1533-position model. The record is from RNAcentral.
AGUGAACGCUGGCGGCAGGCCUAAUACAUGCAAGUCGAACGGCAGCACAGCAGAGCUUGCUCUGUGGGUGGCGAGUGGCGGACGGGUGAGGAAUACAUGGGAAUCUGCCCAGUCGUGGGGGAUAACGUAUGGAAACGUACGCUAAUACCGCAUGCGCCCUACGGGGGAAAGCCGGGGACCGCAAGGCCUGGCGCGAUUGGAUGAGCCCAUGUUCGAUUAGCUAGUUGGCGGGGUAAAGGCCCACCAAGGCGACGAUCGAUAGCUGGUCUGAGAGGAUGAUCAGCCACACUGGAACUGAGACACGGUCCAGACUCCUACGGGAGGCAGCAGUAGGGAAUAUUGGACAAUGGGGGCAACCCUGAUCCAGCCAUGCCGCGUGAGUGAAGAAGGCCCUCGGGUUGUAAAGCACUUUUGUUGGGAGAAACCGGCCGGGUUAAUACCCUGGUUGAAUGACGGUACCCAAACGAAUAAGCACCGGCUAA